RNAcentral lists this unclassified non-coding RNA (395 nucleotides) under soil metagenome. RNAcentral's name for it is "partial contains 5.8S ribosomal RNA, internal transcribed spacer 2, and large subunit ribosomal RNA". The stretch from base 1 to 120 matches the Rfam family "5.8S ribosomal RNA", at positions 35 to 154 of the family's 154-position model. The record is from RNAcentral.
GAUGAAGAACGCAGCGAAAUGCGAUAAGUGAUGUGAAUUGCAGAAUUCAGUGAAUCAUCGAAUCUUUGAACGCAUCUUGCGCUCCUUGGUAUUCCGAGGAGCAUGCCUGUUUGAGUGUCAUUUUAACUUCUCAACCAUAUCGAAUUGUUUUUCGAGGUGGCUUGGACAUGGGGGUUUUUGCAGGCUUUAAUAAUGAAGUCGGCUCCUCUGAAAUGCAUUAGUGGUAUCUGAAGCAGAACUGCUACUAUUAGGUGUGAUAAUUAUCUAUGCCUCUUGGUAUACUGCAUGAACAGAUUGCGCUGCUUCCAACUUGUACACCCUUUGGUGUUUGACAAAUUUGACCUCAAAUCAGGUAGGACUACCCGCUGAACUUAAGCAUAUCAAUAAGCGGAGGA